AGUAACCUGCCCUGGAGUGGGGAAUAACAGCUGGAAACAGCUGCUAAUACCGCAUAAUGCAGUUGGGCCGCAUGGCUCUGACUGCCAAAGAUUUAUCGCUCUGGGAUGGACUCGCGUCUGAUUAGCUAGUUGGUGGGGCAACGGCCCACCAAGGCGACGAUCAGUAGCCGGACUGAGAGGUUGGCCGGCCACAUUGGGACUGAGACACGGCCCAGACUCCUACGGAAGGCAGCAG
RNAcentral lists this ribosomal RNA (235 nucleotides) under uncultured bacterium. RNAcentral describes it as "partial 16S ribosomal RNA". It matches the Rfam family "Bacterial small subunit ribosomal RNA", at positions 120 to 354 of the family's 1533-position model. The record is from RNAcentral.